RNAcentral lists this ribosomal RNA (468 nucleotides) under uncultured bacterium. RNAcentral's name for it is "partial 16S ribosomal RNA". It matches the Rfam family "Bacterial small subunit ribosomal RNA", at positions 28 to 507 of the family's 1533-position model. The record is from RNAcentral.
GACGAACGCUGGCGGCGUGCUUAACACAUGCAAGUCGAACGGAAAGGCCCUGCUUUUGUGGGGUGCUCGAGUGGCGAACGGGUGAGUAACACGUGAGUAACCUGCCCUUGACUUUGGGAUAACUUCAGGAAACUGGGGCUAAUACCGGAUAGGAGCUCCUGCUGCAUGGUGGGGGUUGGAAAGUUUCGGCGGUUGGGGAUGGACUCGCGGCUUAUCAGCUUGUUGGUGGGGUAGUGGCUUACCAAGGCUUUGACGGGUAGCCGGCCUGAGAGGGUGACCGGCCACAUUGGGACUGAGAUACGGCCCAGACUGCUACGGGAGGCAGCAGGGGGGAAUAUUGCACAAUGAGCGGGAGCCUGAUGCAGCAACGCCGCGUGCGUGAUGACGGCCUUCGGGUUGUAAACCGCUGUCGCCUGUGACGAAGCGUGAGUGACGGUAAUGGGUAAAGAAGCACCGGCUAACUACGUG